GAUGAACGCUGGCGGCGUGCCUAAUACAUGCAAGUCGAGCGAACGGACGAGAAGCUUGCUUCUCUGAUGUUAGCGGCGGACGGGUGAGUAACACGUGGAUAACCUACCUAUAAGACUGGGAUAACUUCGGGAAACCGGAGCUAAUACCGGAUAAUAUUUUGAACCGCAUGGUUCAAAAGUGAAAGACGGUCUUGCUGUCACGUAUAGAUGGAUCCGCGCUGCAUUAGCUAGUUGGUAAGGUAACGGCUUACCAAGGCGACGAUGCAUAGCCGACCUGAUGGGGUGAACGGCGCCAGUGGAGGUGAGCGGCGGUCCAGGCACCGACGGGAGGCAGCAGCAGGUACGGUACGGAACAGUGGGAAAGCCUGACGGAGGAACGCCGCGUGAGUGAUGAAGGGCUGCGGAUCGGAAAACGCUGUUAUGAGGGAAGAACAUAUGUGUAAGUAACGGUGCGUGUCUUGACGGAACCGAUUCAGAAGGCCAGGCCUAAUUACGG
Molecule: ribosomal RNA, 496 nt
Filed under: uncultured bacterium
Lineage: Bacteria
Description: partial 16S ribosomal RNA
Rfam family: Bacterial small subunit ribosomal RNA
Source: RNAcentral